This 244-nucleotide ribosomal RNA is filed under the name uncultured bacterium. RNAcentral describes it as "partial 16S ribosomal RNA". It matches the Rfam family "Bacterial small subunit ribosomal RNA", at positions 109 to 354 of the family's 1533-position model. The record is from RNAcentral.
AGUAACACGUGGAUAAUCUGCCCUGCACAGGGGGACAACAGCUAGAAAUGGCUGCUAAUACCGCAUAAGCCUACAGCCUCGCAUGAGGGAGUAGGAAAAGAAAUUCGGUGCAGGAUGAGUCCGCGUCUGAUUAGCUAGUUGGAGGGGUAAGAGCCCACCAAGGCAACGAUCAGUAGCCGGCCUGAGAGGGCGACCGGCCACAUUGGGACUGAGACACGGCCCAAACUCCUACGGAAGGCAGCAG